RNAcentral lists this long non-coding RNA (1322 nucleotides) under Nicotiana benthamiana. Its description in RNAcentral is "long non-coding RNA (NBEN_LNC003961)". The record is from RNAcentral. Lineage: Eukaryota; Viridiplantae; Streptophyta; Magnoliopsida; Solanales; Solanaceae.
UUCAGAUUCCAAAGUGGAGGAAGAAGAACUAGAAAAUGCAGGGAGUUGACAGACAUAAUCCUUAUGGUAGGAAGGAGGAUUAUGCUGUCUAGUAGACUUUCUAGAGGUGGGAAUAGGAUGGGAAGGAGGUAAUACAGGAGCAGAGAGAUCUGGAUUGAAAGAAGGAAGGGAAGAUGUACCAGCAUCAAGAACAUUAGGUGCAGGAGAAUCAGAAUUAGAAGGAAGGACAGGAGAAUCAGGGGAAGGAAAGAUAGGAAAUUCUGAGACAGUGAAAUCAUCAGCAGGGGGAGCAUAAGGAACAGAAGUAGAAGAAGGAUGAACAGAAGUAGGAUUAUCCUUAAAAGGAAAAUAGGUUUCAUGAAAGACAACAUCCCUUGAAACAAAACACUUCUUGGUAACCAAGUCAUACAGUAUAUAACCCCUUUUAGCAAAGGGGUAACCCAGAAACACACAAGAAUGGGCUCUAGGUUUAAGCUUGUCCCUUUGAGGGAUAGGGACAGCAGCAUAAGCAAGGCAUCCAAAUGCCCUCAAAUGAGAGUAGGAUGGAGAUUUGCCAUACAAAAUUCAAGGUGAGACUUAUGGUGAAGGAUUCUGGAAGGUAUUUUGUUAAGAAGAUAGGUGGCAGUUAAUAGACAAUCCCCCCAGAAAGACACAGGUAGGCUAGAUUGAAAAAGCAGGGCUCUACAUGUUUCAAGGAGUGUUCUGUGUUUUCUUUCAACAACACCAUUCUGUUGAUGUGAAUGAGGUCAGGAGUUUUGAUGAAUAAUCCCCUGGCUACUAAAAAAGGAUAUUCCCUCAGUGAUGGAUCCCAGUUCUAAGGCAUUGUCACUUCUGAUAGUCUGAACCACAGAGUUAAACUGAGUUUUAACAAAAGAGAUGAAAGACUUAAGCAGGGAAAAAGUAUUGCUUUUAGAUCCCAUUAAGUGUGUCCAGGUUGCCCUAGAAAAAUCAUCAACUAUAGUAAGGAAGUAUUUGUAACCAGAAGAAGUAGAAGUNUUUUAGAUCCCAUUAAGUGUGUCCAGGUUGCCCUAGAAAAAUCAUCAACUAUAGUAAGGAAGUAUUUAUAACCAGAAGAAGUAGAAGUGUGGUAGGGCCCCCAAGUAUCCACAUGUAUUAACUGGAAUGGUCAAGUGGUACUGAUACUGCUGUCAUGAAAAGGGAGUCUAGUCUAUUUGGCCAUAGGGCAGACAGAACAGGGAAAAGGUUGUAUAGAAGCAAGAGGAAAAGACAAACCAGAAAUAUGUCUCAUAUUUGCAAAAGGAGUGUGUGCUAGUCUUAAAUGCCAAAUGUAAUUCAUAUCAUUGGUAAAAACAUUAUUACAA